Molecule: unclassified non-coding RNA, 281 nt
Filed under: Phylloporus sp.
Lineage: Eukaryota; Fungi; Basidiomycota; Agaricomycetes; Boletales; Boletaceae
Description: partial contains small subunit ribosomal RNA, internal transcribed spacer 1, and 5.8S ribosomal RNA
Rfam family: Eukaryotic small subunit ribosomal RNA (bases 1-46)
Source: RNAcentral
AAGUCGUAACAAGGUUUCCGUAGGUGAACCUGCGGAAGGAUCAUUAACAAAUCUACUUAACACAUCCUGUGUAAACGUCUGUUCCUGGGGUGGAAAUGGUGUGUGUGUGUGUGUGAGAUGUGAAAGAAAGGGCUACUAAUGGGGAGGAGCGGCCUGAGUAUGACGUAUGUGUCACACACAACAAACAUAUAAAGUACACACCAGGACAAUUACAAUAACUAUUGUCAGAGCAUCAUAUAUUUAACAUAUGACAACUUUUAACAAUGGAUCUCUUGGCUCUU